GCGCCAGUAGCUCAGUAGGAUAGAGCAACUGCCUUCUAAGCAGUAGGUCAGGGGUUCGAAUCCCUUCUGGCGUGCCA
RNAcentral lists this transfer RNA (77 nucleotides) under Oscillospiraceae bacterium. Its description in RNAcentral is "tRNA-Arg". It matches the Rfam family "tRNA". From Rfam's summary of the family: Transfer RNA (tRNA) molecules are approximately 80 nucleotides in length. Their secondary structure includes four short double-helical elements and three loops (D, anti-codon, and T loops). The record is from RNAcentral. Lineage: Bacteria; Bacillati; Bacillota; Clostridia; Eubacteriales; Oscillospiraceae.